GUUGAAAUUUUCCUAAGUGUCACAUUCUCCCUCAUGUCAUCCUUACCAUGAUGGGUAAGGAUGGAAAAGAGAGAUAGUGGGGGGGGGUACCAUGCUUCUUGAAGUCCAGGUUCAGAACUGACAUUCUGACCUUUGCUUACAUUCCUCCAAUUGGUGAAAGCCACAAGGCUGGAUGGAGAACUUGGAGAUCCACAUUGUUGAAGACUUGGAUCGAGAAGAGUCAAAGAAUGUGGACAUUUGUUUUUCUAUUUGGCUUUGGUAGAAGAAAAUGAAGGUUUGGCACAUGUACAACCGACACCAGUCAAUGGCUCACGGAGCAUUUAGUAAAGGUUACAUCUGGAGGAAUCACACUUCUAUUUCAUCUGGGACUUCGUGGGGUCCCACUAUCCUCUAAGCAUUUGCAGAUGGCGUCAUCAUUUGUCACUUGAGCUCUAGAAGUGCUUCAGGAUGUCCUGUUUCAGUACAACUAUUUGUCUCUGGAGCGUGAACGUCCCCAACUUUGUCUUGCUGAGCUCACACCAGAACUUCCAAAUGAAGAAUACCCAUCAGUGAAUACAAGUUAUCUUGGUUUAGACGUCCCCACAGCAGCGCGGAGACAAGAAGGCAGUGAAGAAAUACUUUCAAACUGCUACAAGAAAAAUAAUUUCCAAUGCAGUAUUAGAAAACUGGAUUUAAAGAGACGAGGCAGAUUGCACAAGGAAGCACACAGGAAAG
This 714-nucleotide long non-coding RNA is filed under the name Cricetulus griseus (Chinese hamster). Its description in RNAcentral is "lncRNA (ENSCGRG00015001035.2)". Lineage: Eukaryota; Metazoa; Chordata; Mammalia; Rodentia; Cricetidae. The record is from RNAcentral.